AUUGAACGCUGGCGGCAGGCCUAACACAUGCAAGUCGAGCGGAUGAAGGGAGCUUGCUCCUGGAUUCAGCGGCGGACGGGUGAGUAAUGCCUAGGAAUCUGCCUGGUAGUGGGGGAUAACGUCCGGAAACGGGCGCUAAUACCGCCUACGUCCUGAGGGAGAAAGUGGGGGAUCUUCGGACCUCAUGCUAUCAGAUGAGCCUAGGUCGGAUUAGCUAGUUGGUGGGGUAAAGGCCUACCAAGGCGACGAUCCGUAACUGGUCUGAGAGGAUGACCAGUCACACUGGAACUGAGACACGGUCCAGACUCCUACGGGAGGCAGCAGUGGGGAAUAUUGGACAAUGGGCGAAAGCCUGAUCCAGCCAUGCCGCGUGUGUGAAGAAGGUCUUCGGAUUGUAAAGCACUUUAAGUUGGGAGGAAGGGCAGUAAGUUAAUACCUUGCUGUUUUGACGUUACCAACAGAAUAAGCACCGGCUAACUUCGUG
Molecule: ribosomal RNA, 484 nt
Filed under: uncultured bacterium
Lineage: Bacteria
Description: partial 16S ribosomal RNA
Rfam family: Bacterial small subunit ribosomal RNA
Source: RNAcentral